GAUGAACGCUGGCGGCGUGCUUAACACAUGCAAGUCGAGCGAAGCAUUUGCAGUUGAUUUCUUCGGAAUGAUUCUGUUUAUGACUGAGCGGCGUCGGGUGAAGGUACGCGUGGGAACCUGCCUCAUACAGGGGGAUAACAGUUAGAAAUGACUGCUAAUACCGCAUAAGCGCACAGUGCCGCAUGGCGCCGUGUGAAAAACUCCGGUGGUAUGAGAUGGAACCCGCGUCUGAUUAGCUGGUUGGUGGGGUAACGGCCCACCAAGGCGACGAUCAGUAGCCGACCUGAGAGGGUGAUCGGCCACAUUGGGACUGAGACACGGCCCAA
Molecule: ribosomal RNA, 326 nt
Filed under: uncultured bacterium
Lineage: Bacteria
Description: bacterial SSU rRNA
Rfam family: Bacterial small subunit ribosomal RNA
Source: RNAcentral